GUUGAUAUAAACCGGAAGCAGUAGAUAACGAAAGUCAUAUCACACGGCUAAAGCAAUUCUUCAAAUUUAAUGAAUAAAUACAUGUACAAAUAAGUCGUUUCAUGGGGUACAAUUAUACCAUUAUUUUCUUGUGAGUCUAUGAUAAAUUUGUAUAGCAAAUUAUUUUAUAUGUCUCUGAUUUAUGUGACCAGUCAAUUUGGCUGUGCAAAUUUCUAGUUGGUAAGGUCAAAAUUAUCGUGGUUAAAAUGUCCUCCUGAAGCUAAAGCGAUAGUUACUCUUAUAUAUUAAUUCAAACCAAGUGGUUUAGUUUAAACAGCA
Molecule: long non-coding RNA, 318 nt
Filed under: Mytilus galloprovincialis (Mediterranean mussel)
Lineage: Eukaryota; Metazoa; Mollusca; Bivalvia; Mytilida; Mytilidae
Source: RNAcentral